Molecule: RNA transcript, 1070 nt
Organism: Zea mays
Lineage: Eukaryota; Viridiplantae; Streptophyta; Magnoliopsida; Poales; Poaceae
Source: RefSeq, marked validated
AGGCAGGGUUUGCUACGUCGCCCAGACCAUCUCCACCCAGGACCGCCGCCCUCAUCCGUCUCCCCCGUCUUCCUCGCCCUCGUCUACCUCGCGCUCGUCGGAAAAAACAGCUCAGAGACGUGCUCGGCUUGAAGUAUACAAAGAACAGCUCUUGCUAGAAACCAAGCAAAAAACGGGACAGGACUGAAGAAUAUGAUGACUUGAUUUGCAUCGUACCGAAGACAUUGCUGGCCGGAAAUUGAUGAGUCCAUGGAUGAGUCCAUGAUGGACUUGGAGAAUGAGGCAGUGCUACGGAACGACUGCGAGAAGGAAGCCGUGCUGCGGAAUGAAUUCUGCCAAAUUGUAUCAUUAUAGGGGGGUUGUGUAUCAUAAAUUAAAAAUCUUGUGCCAAGGAAGUUAGACCUGCAAAUUGGUCAUACAUGCUACUGUUGCCUAGUAGUUUAUUCCAUUUUUUGCAGCUUAGUUUAUGUUUCAAUUCCAAGUUUAUUUGUUGAUGUAUCUUUGUAACAAUUUUUUUAUAGAGGAAUAAGGAAGCAAAAGGAUAUAGACAUAAGGUUGUGAAGUUUUGGGAUCUACUCAGCCUAGUGUACAAUAAAGACCAAGCAAAUGGAGAGGGUGCUAAAACAACAGCUGAAAGUUCAAAGGAAAUGGCAAAAGAGAAUAAUACCAGAGGCAAGGAUGCUCCAUAUUCUGUAUCUUCCUCGAGUAGUUUAAAAAGACAAAGAUCAGAUGAUUCAUUUAACUCUAUAUGGUGUGAUAAGUUCGACAUGCUUACAUCUGCAUUGAAAGAUGACGGUCCAAAGCUACCCUCUUCCGUCGAAGUUCUCACCGCAUUACAAGAGGUUGAGGGAUUUGAUGAAGACACAGAACUUGAGCUUUAUGACAUCCUCACCUCUAAUGCACGCAAGUUUGAGUCGAUGAUGGCACUCCCAAUGGAAAGGAGGAAGAGGUGGCUUAUGAUGCAGCUAAGGAAGUGAAACAACUUAUAUGUGAACUUAGAUCUCUUUGUUGAAUUGAUUGUGUGAACUUGUCUUUGUGAAACUUUUGUGUGUGAAUUUGAUGGCUAUGUG